AACCCAAUGUGAACGUUACCAAACUGUUGCCUCGGCGGGAUCUCUGCCCCGGGUGCGUCGCAGCCCCGGACCAAGGCGCCCGCCGGAGGACCAACCAAAACUCUUAUUGUAUACCCCCUCGCGGGUUUUUUUUUAUAAUCUGAGCCUUCUCGGCGCCUCUCGUAGGCGUUUCGAAAAUGAAUCAAAACUUUCAACAACGGAUCUCUUGGUUCUGGCAUCGAUGAAGAACGCAGCGAAAUGCGAUAAGUAAUGUGAAUUGCAGAAUUCAGUGAAUCAUCGAAUCUUUGAACGCACAUUGCGCCCGCCAGUAUUCUGGCGGGCAUGCCUGUCCGAGCGUCAUUUCAACCCUCGAACCCCUCCGGGGGGUCGGCGUUGGGGAUCGGCCCUGCCUUGGCGGUGGCCGUCUCCGAAAUACAGUGGCGGUCUCGCCGCAGCCUCUCCUGCGCAGUAGUUUGCACACUCGCAUCGGGAGCGCGGCGCGUCCACAGCCGUUAAACACCCAACUUCUGAAAUGUUGACCUCGGAUCAGGUAGGAAUACCCGCUGAACUUAAGCAU
This 556-nucleotide ribosomal RNA is filed under the name Trichoderma harzianum. RNAcentral's name for it is "eukaryotic LSU rRNA". The stretch from base 186 to 339 matches the Rfam family "5.8S ribosomal RNA". The record is from RNAcentral. Lineage: Eukaryota; Fungi; Ascomycota; Sordariomycetes; Hypocreales; Hypocreaceae.